AAAUUGAAGAGUUUGAUCAUGGCUCAGAUUGAACGCUGGCGGCAGGCCUAACACAUGCAAGUCGAACGGUAACAGGAAACAGCUUGCUGUUUCGCUGACGAGUGGCGGACGGGUGAGUAAUGUCUGGGAAACUGCCUGAUGGAGGGGGAUAACUACUGGAAACGGUAGCUAAUACCGCAUAACGUCGCAAGACCAAAGAGGGGGACCUUCGGGCCUCUU
RNAcentral lists this ribosomal RNA (219 nucleotides) under Escherichia coli. RNAcentral's name for it is "partial 16S ribosomal RNA". It matches the Rfam family "Bacterial small subunit ribosomal RNA", at positions 1 to 218 of the family's 1533-position model. The record is from RNAcentral. Lineage: Bacteria; Pseudomonadati; Pseudomonadota; Gammaproteobacteria; Enterobacterales; Enterobacteriaceae. RNAcentral also lists the same sequence under 1 other name.